This 253-nucleotide ribosomal RNA is filed under the name uncultured bacterium. Its description in RNAcentral is "partial 16S ribosomal RNA". It matches the Rfam family "Bacterial small subunit ribosomal RNA", at positions 524 to 776 of the family's 1533-position model. The record is from RNAcentral.
UACGAACUGUGCGAACGUUAUUCGGAAUCACUGGGCGUAAAGCGUGCGUAGACGGUUAUUUAAGUCGGGUGUGAAAGCCCCGGGCUCAACCUGGGAAUUGCAUUCGAGACUGAAUAGCUAGGGUACGGUAGAGGGAAGUGGAAUUUCCGGUGUAGCGGUGAAAUGCGUAGAUAUCGGAAGGAACAUCAGUGGCGAAAGCGACUUCCUGGACCAGUACCGACGUUCAGGCACGAAAGCGUGGGGAGCAAACAGG